RNAcentral lists this ribosomal RNA (253 nucleotides) under uncultured bacterium. RNAcentral describes it as "partial 16S ribosomal RNA". It matches the Rfam family "Bacterial small subunit ribosomal RNA", at positions 524 to 776 of the family's 1533-position model. The record is from RNAcentral.
UACGGAGGGUGCAAGCGUUAGUCGGAAUUACUGGGCGUAAAGCGCACGUAGGCGGUUUGGUAAGUCGGAUGUGAAAUCCCCGGGCUUAACCCGGGAAUGGCAUUCGAUACUGCCUGACUGGAGUAUGGUAGAGGGAAGUGGAAUUCCGGGUGUAGCGGUGAAAUGCGUAGAUAUCCGGAGGAACAUCAGUGGCGAAGGCGGCUUCCUGGACCAAUACUGACGCUGAGGUGCGAAAGCGUGGGGAGCAAACAGG